AAUUCUCAAAAUCCUCUCUGUUUGUGAGGCAUUUUGGACAUUGGGAGUUGCAGGUUUAUGAAGCCAGCUCUCCUCAAAUGAAUUAGCAGGGAAAUAUGGGAAUUUCUCCGUUGGUGUGAUAAACUGUUUACACCAUGAAAUGAAGUCCCUGUACAAUCUCUACUUUCUAAAGCAUUUCUGUCCUAGAGAUAGUAAUGGGCUGGUUUGGUUG
This 211-nucleotide unclassified non-coding RNA is filed under the name uncultured Amanita. RNAcentral describes it as "sequence contains ITS2". Lineage: Eukaryota; Fungi; Basidiomycota; Agaricomycetes; Agaricales; Amanitaceae. The record is from RNAcentral.